RNAcentral lists this long non-coding RNA (1837 nucleotides) under Prunus persica (peach). RNAcentral describes it as "long non-coding RNA (PPER_LNC004316)". The record is from RNAcentral. Lineage: Eukaryota; Viridiplantae; Streptophyta; Magnoliopsida; Rosales; Rosaceae.
UCCGAUUCAUGAAGAUCAAGAAUUAGAUUGAUUGGCGGAGUAGGUGAUUCCAUAUCUAGUAUUUCUCUCUCCUAUUUCAAGCGAGUAAUUAUGCCAUUAAGUGGUCUUGAGAAUUGACAUUAAAUUUGCAUAUAAUCUAAUAAUCAGUUUUUGUUUGAGUAUAAAAAAUAAUGUUUUUUUUAUUUCUCUCUGUUCUCAUCAUUGGUAUUAGAACUUUCAAUGCCAUGGCCAACAAUGCUUUGUAUUAAUCCUGCUGAUUAUGCUUAUCUUGCAGGUUGUAGCAAGCAAUUUUGACAUAAGGGUUGAGUUGAAAUUGAAAUAAGAAAGGGAUGAAACAUUUGCAGCAUAUAUGUUAGGAAAAAAAAUUGCAACUUGCUAUUGAACCAAAAGGGAGCUGCUGAAAGUGGGUCUAAGCAGCAGCAACAACAACCCAAAAGGUAUGUGGUGCUUCUCUGUCACCAUAAUUCUAUGUUCUGCAAUUUCUGAUAAUCAGUUUAUGUUUGAGUAUAAAAAAGAAAGUCACAGAUUAUGGUUUUGUUCUUGCCAAUAUUGUUAAUGGAAGGGUAGACAUGGAUCGAAAGAGAAAGAGGAAGAUUAUGACAACUCUAGUUGCAGUAGAGUUAGAGAAACAACAUUUGUGUGCAUCCAUGAUGUUAGUAACUGUCAUAUAUGCUUUGACAGAUGGUACUAUGAAAAGUACCACUGCCGCAUCUGACCAAUGGUCUGGAUGGAGGGAUAAUUUGGUUACUGAGAUGUUUAAUGAGUGGAUGGCAAAUAGAGCAACAUGUAUUUGUUGAUCAUUUGAGUGUACCUCAAAGAAUUUUCGUGUUAUUAUUAAUUUUGUGAAUUUUUGGAUUUUUAUGAUAUCUUCAUGUUAUUUUUUAUUUUGUGUACAUGUUUUUUUAAUUAAAUUUAAUUAUUUCUGAUAUUAAAUAACUUUAAUAAACAUUAUAAAUAAAUUUUGUUUGAAGUCCAAUGUAGUCCAGCCCAUACUUGUACCAAACAACGGAUUGGACUUUAGUACAGUGCAGUCUAGCCCAACUUAAUGUAACAAAUAACUUAUUAAAGUCUAACUUAAUCCAAGCCAAACCAGUCCAACACUCUAAGCCCAAUCCUAACCAGUCCAGUCCAGCUCACCAAACAGGGCCUCAAAGAAAAGGAACAAAUAUAAUAUAGUGUACAGAAAUGAAAUUUUACAAAUUUUUAUCAGGAAUGAAUCUGAAAUGAAAGAAAAAAAGGAACUUUAAAGAAUCCAUACUCUUAUCAGUUCUUUAAGGUGCCAAUAAAUGAACCUAAUAUGUCAAAAGCCUACCCAGAAAACCACCCAGUUAUGUGCACCCAUAAACAAAACAUAUUAUCGAAAUAAAUCCUCAAAUAAUUCCACAAAGGAAACCAACCUUCAGACUUAGAAACCCAAUACCAAAGCUACAAAACAAACCCAGAGCUGAAUUUGAAACCUCCCAAAAUCAUAAAUUGAAAAAAGAUGACAGAUAAAUAAUGUGGCAAUGAAAUUUCCAGAUCCAGUAAAAGUAUUCGUACCAAGAGCAGCAUAUUCAAAUAGACAUGAUACAAUUUGGAAGAGAAGAGAAAAAAAGAACUCACUCUGUUUCUUCCUUUUUGGUCUAUAACUAUAAGGUAAUGGUAGUUGUGCAAAUACUUUGACGAGGAGGUGGUGGUCGCCUGCCUGGUUUUGGCUAUGGCUUAUGUGUUUUGGCUAUGGCUUCUGUGUUAAGCGAAAUACAAGAAAAUGCAUAGAUUAUAAAUGCAGGGACUCGGCAUCUGUCACAUUGGUUCCUGUGUUUGACCUCUUUGGAAAAUUUAGUUCGUGUUUUUCAAU